Molecule: ribosomal RNA, 1172 nt
Filed under: Streptomyces dubilierae
Lineage: Bacteria; Bacillati; Actinomycetota; Actinomycetes; Kitasatosporales; Streptomycetaceae
Description: Streptomyces sp. DSM 41921 partial 23S ribosomal RNA
Rfam family: Bacterial large subunit ribosomal RNA
Source: RNAcentral
GAGCUGGGGGUGGCCGCAGAGACCAGCGAGAAGCGACUGUUUACUAAAAACACAGGUCCGUGCGAAGCCGUAAGGCGAUGUAUACGGACUGACGCCUGCCCGGUGCUGGAACGUUAAGGGGACCGGUUAGCUCCAUUUCGGUGGGGCGAAGCUGAGAACUUAAGCGCCAGUAAACGGCGGUGGUAACUAUAACCAUCCUAAGGUAGCGAAAUUCCUUGUCGGGUAAGUUCCGACCUGCACGAAUGGCGUAACGACUUCUCGACUGUCUCAACCAUAGGCCCGGUGAAAUUGCACUACGAGUAAAGAUGCUCGUUUCGCGCAGCAGGACGGAAAGACCCCGGGACCUUUACUACAGUUUGAUAUUGGUGUUCGGUUCGGCUUGUGUAGGAUAGCUGGGAGACUUUGAAGCUCACACGCCAGUGUGGGUGGAGUCGUCGUUGAAAUACCAGUCUGGUCGUGCUGGAUGUCUAACCUGGGUCCGUGAUCCGGAUCAGGGACAGUGUCUGAUGGGUAGUUUAACUGGGGCGGUUGCCUCCUAAAGGGUAACGGAGGCGCCCAAAGGUUCCCUCAGCCUGGUUGGCAAUCAGGUGUUGAGUGUAAGUGCACAAGGGAGCUUGACUGUGAGACCGACGGGUCGAGCAGGGACGAAAGUCGGGACUAGUGAUCCGGCGGUGGCUUGUGGAAGCGCCGUCGCUCAACGGAUAAAAGGUACCCCGGGGAUAACAGGCUGAUCUUCCCCAAGAGUCCAUAUCGACGGGAUGGUUUGGCACCUCGAUGUCGGCUCGUCGCAUCCUGGGGCUGGAGUCGGUCCCAAGGGUUGGGCUGUUCGCCCAUUAAAGCGGUACGCGAGCUGGGUUUAGAACGUCGUGAGACAGUUCGGUCCCUAUCCGCUGUGCGCGUAGGAGUCUUGAGAAGGGCUGUCCCUAGUACGAGAGGACCGGGACGGACGAACCUCUGGUGUGCCAGUUGUUCUGCCAAGGGCAUGGCUGGUUGGCUACGUUCGGGAGGGAUAACCGCUGAAAGCAUCUAAGCGGGAAGCCUGCUUCGAGAUGAGGACUCCCACCUCCUAGAGAGGGUAAGGCUCCCAGUAGACGACUGGGUUGAUAGGCCGGAUAUGGAAGCCAGGUAACUGGUGGAGUUGACCGGUACUAAUAGGCCGAGGGCUUGUCCUC